GUAUACAUAGUUUAAAAAACACUAGGCUGUGACCCUAGAAAUGAGAGCUUACCCUCUCUGUAAACC
RNAcentral lists this transfer RNA (66 nucleotides) under Eurycea bislineata (two-lined salamander). Its description in RNAcentral is "tRNA-His". It matches the Rfam family "tRNA". From Rfam's summary of the family: Transfer RNA (tRNA) molecules are approximately 80 nucleotides in length. Lineage: Eukaryota; Metazoa; Chordata; Amphibia; Caudata; Plethodontidae. The record is from RNAcentral.